Non-coding RNA from Sturnus vulgaris (Common starling), 90 nucleotides. Lineage: Eukaryota; Metazoa; Chordata; Aves; Passeriformes; Sturnidae. The record is from RefSeq and is a predicted model, not a curated record.
UGAGGGCAUGCAGCUGAGGAUUAUGUCCAGAUGGUUUUUUAACAUCUCCAGUGAGGGAGACUCCACAACUUCUCUGGACAAUCUGUUCCA